GAGUCCAUAGCUCAGUCGGUAGAGCAUUUCACUUUUAAUGAAAGGGUCGAUGGUUCGAAUCCAUCUGGACUCACCA
This 76-nucleotide transfer RNA is filed under the name Oligoflexia bacterium. RNAcentral describes it as "tRNA-Lys". It matches the Rfam family "tRNA". From Rfam's summary of the family: Transfer RNA (tRNA) molecules are approximately 80 nucleotides in length. Lineage: Bacteria; Pseudomonadati; Bdellovibrionota; Oligoflexia. The record is from RNAcentral.